This 143-nucleotide ribosomal RNA is filed under the name Brachyglottis kirkii. RNAcentral describes it as "5.8S ribosomal RNA". It matches the Rfam family "5.8S ribosomal RNA", at positions 1 to 136 of the family's 154-position model. From Rfam's summary of the family: 5.8S ribosomal RNA (5.8S rRNA) is a component of the large subunit of the eukaryotic ribosome. Lineage: Eukaryota; Viridiplantae; Streptophyta; Magnoliopsida; Asterales; Asteraceae. The record is from RNAcentral.
CAAAAGACUCUCGGCAACGGAUAUCUCGGCUCACGCAUCGAUGAAGAACGUAGCAAAAUGCGAUACUUGGUGUGAAUUGCAGAAUCCCGUGAACCAUCGAGUUUUUGAACGCAAGUUGCGCCCGAAGCCUUUUGGCCGAGGGC